RNAcentral lists this ribosomal RNA (440 nucleotides) under uncultured bacterium. RNAcentral's name for it is "partial 16S ribosomal RNA". It matches the Rfam family "Bacterial small subunit ribosomal RNA", at positions 338 to 795 of the family's 1533-position model. The record is from RNAcentral.
CCUACGAGUGGCAGCAGUAGGGAAUAUUGCUCAAUGUGGGAAACCCUGAAGCAGCAACGCCGCGUGGAGGAUGCAGGUUUUAGGAUUGUAAACUCCUUUUGUUAGAGAAGAUUAUGACUGUAUCUAACGAAUAAGCACCAGCUAACUCCGUGCCAGCAGCCGCGGUAAUACGGAGGGUGCAAGAGUUACUCGGAAUCACUGGUCUUAAAGAGUGCGUAGGCGGGGUAAUAAUGCAGAUGUGAAAUCCUGUAGCUUAACUACAGAACUGCAUGUGAAACUGUUACUCUGGAUGGUGGGAGAGGUAGGUGGAAUUCUUGGUGUAGGGGUAAAAUCCGUAGAGAUCAAGAGGAAUACUCAUUGCGAAGGCGACCUGCUGGAACAUUACUGACGCUGAUGCACGAAAGCGUGGGGAGCAAACAGGAUUAGAUACCCUAGUAGUC